This 334-nucleotide long non-coding RNA is filed under the name Elaeis guineensis (African oil palm). Its description in RNAcentral is "long non-coding RNA (EGUI_LNC014577)". The record is from RNAcentral. Lineage: Eukaryota; Viridiplantae; Streptophyta; Magnoliopsida; Arecales; Arecaceae.
AAUCAGCAGCACGAGCAUUCUGCUUCUAUGGCUAUCCACAGAGCCGACCUUAAUUAUUUUCUCUUGAAUCCUACUCGCUUGAACUGAAAGUCUGAAUAGUCUUGAACCAAGCCUGGAUAGGGUUCAACUCGUGAACCUUUUUGAUCUUUUUUUCUUGAUUAUUGAAGAAGCCAAGAACCUUUCUUGAUCUCUCACCUAAUCAAGAAGAACAACAAACAAGAAAUGGUUGUAACUAACUCUCAACAACUUUAGAGAAAGAGAAAGAAACCAAUCAAUUUUGGCACCAACCCUUGACACCAAUGAAAGGAUACUGCCCACUUCUCUUUAAGAUCCA